This 232-nucleotide long non-coding RNA is filed under the name Mustela putorius furo (domestic ferret). RNAcentral's name for it is "lncRNA (ENSMPUG00000029430.1)". The record is from RNAcentral. Lineage: Eukaryota; Metazoa; Chordata; Mammalia; Carnivora; Mustelidae.
UAUAUGAAGCAUCUACUUCACGCUUCAACAUUAAAGAACAGAAUUUUUGAAACUCCAGGCCAGAAGACUGAAACAGAGGCAGUGGCCAUCUUUGAUGGAAAAUGAUACAAGAGACCGAGACGUGCGGCUUUAUGAAGUUCUCCUUCUCUCACCAAUAACAAAAUCGCCUUGAGGUCCUGUGCGUGAGAUUGCUUUCUCUGCUUACGGAAGAAUCCAACUCAGCUCUCUGGUG